UGGGGAAUAUUAGACAAUGGGGGGAACCCUGAUCCAGCCAUGCCGCGUGUGUGAAGAAGGCCUUUUGGUUGUAAAGCACUUUAAGCGAGGAGGAGGCUACCGAGAUUAAUACUCUUGGAUAGUGGACGUUACUCGCAGAAUAAGCACCGGCUAACUCUGUGCCAGCAGCCGCGGUAAUACAGAGGGUGCAAGCGUUAAUCGGAUUUACUGGGCGUAAAGCGCGCGUAGGUGGCCAAUUAAGUCAAAUGUGAAAUCCCCGAGCUUAACUUGGGAAUUGCAUUCGAUACUGGUUGGCUAGAGUAUGGGAGAGGAUGGUAGAAUUCCAGGUGUAGCGGUGAAAUGCGUAGAGAUCUGGAGGAAUACCGAUGGCGAAGGCAGCCAUCUGGCCUAAUACUGACACUGAGGUGCGAAAGCAUGGGGAGCAAACAGG
Molecule: ribosomal RNA, 430 nt
Filed under: bacterium
Lineage: Bacteria
Description: partial 16S ribosomal RNA
Rfam family: Bacterial small subunit ribosomal RNA
Source: RNAcentral